CUGCUGUCCUGCUGAGGUUGCUCAAGAACACCCUGAGUCUUCACAGACUCAGGACUGAUGAAUGAGGACAGAACAAUACCGGCCUGGCAAGAAGACCCCAGACUACCCCAGAACAGAGACGGCGGCCCUUCUCCUGAUGGCUCCUGGGUUGUGCCACUGAGGGAGAGAGGGUGAAGACACACAGAGCAAUCAGGGAAGGAGGAGACACUGAGGCCCCCUGCCAGGACGAGUUAACAGGAGCAGGCAUUACCUUUCUUCCCAGGAUUUGGUUAAUGGCUGCACUUUCCUUCAGGGAGUCUGAAGCUGGCGGAUUUCUGAGUUCAAGGCCAGCCUGGUCUACAGAGUCAGUUCCAAGACAGCCAAGGCUACACAGAGAAACCCUGUCUCGAAAAACCAAAAAAAAAAAAAAAAAAAAAUCAAGGAACCCCACCCCCACCACGCCUGCUCACUAACCACUAACCUAUAGGUGACUGGCUAGCUUAUGGUCAGAAGUGGCAGUCACUAAUAUCCUUGGACUGUGACAUCAUGCUGGCAGCCCCGGCCCGAGGACUCACCUGGACAUUGAAGCGUUCAUGGCGAGGGCAGGCUGUCCCCAGGAGCUCGAUGAUCACAGCAAAGGCUGAGGCCACCGGUCAGGAAUGCACAGCCUCAAGUGGACAACCUCAGGACAAGACGUAGGAGCCACACGGGCUUGCUCAGCAAGGAAUGUCCCAUCCGAAACAGCCAGAUCCUCCAGCAAGCUACGUAGGUUGAGCACCUUCUCAGGAUUGCUCAGGUUUUCAUGCACACCGGAAGAGGGCAUCAGAUUCCAUUCCUGAUGGUUCUGAGUCACCAUGCGGCUGCUGUGAAUUCAACUCAGGAGGAACAGCCAGCACUCUUAACCACAGAGCCAUCUCUCCAGUCCCCUGUGUUUCUUAACCUGAUCAGAAAUAAGCUGCAGGAGAUUUAUGGCUCAGGAGAGUAGACCCUUCCCUUCUGCCGUCACUCACGAUGGACAAUGGCUGCCCAGGAAAUCACCCAACAUUUCAGUAGACAACUAACACUAUUCAGAAC
This 1053-nucleotide long non-coding RNA is filed under the name Mus pahari (shrew mouse). RNAcentral's name for it is "lncRNA (MGP_PahariEiJ_G0002943.1)". Lineage: Eukaryota; Metazoa; Chordata; Mammalia; Rodentia; Muridae. The record is from RNAcentral.